RNAcentral lists this ribosomal RNA (893 nucleotides) under Zhihengliuella sp. M46-2. RNAcentral describes it as "bacterial SSU rRNA". It matches the Rfam family "Bacterial small subunit ribosomal RNA", at positions 80 to 985 of the family's 1533-position model. The record is from RNAcentral. Lineage: Bacteria; Bacillati; Actinomycetota; Actinomycetes; Micrococcales; Micrococcaceae.
UUGCUGGGUGGAUUAGUGGCGAACGGGUGAGUAACACGUGAGUAACCUGCCCUCGACUCCAGGAUAAGCCCGGGAAACUGGGUCUAAUACUGGAUAUUCAAUUUCUGCCGCAUGGUGGUUUUUGGAAAGGAUUCUGGUCGAGGAGGGACUCGCGGCCUAUCAGCUUGUUGGUGAGGUAAUGGCUCACCAAGGCGACGACGGGUAGCCGGCCUGAGAGGGUGACCGGCCACACUGGGACUGAGACACGGCCCAGACUCCUACGGGAGGCAGCAGUGGGGAAUAUUGCACAAUGGGCGAAAGCCUGAUGCAGCGACGCCGCGUGAGGGAUGACGGCCUUCGGGUUGUAAACCUCUUUCAGUAGGGAAGAAGCGAAAGUGACGGUACCUGCAGAAGAAGCGCCGGCUAACUACGUGCCAGCAGCCGCGGUAAUACGUAGGGCGCAAGCGUUAUCCGGAAUUAUUGGGCGUAAAGAGCUCGUAGGCGGUUUGUCGCGUCUGCCGUGAAAGUCCGGGGCUUAACUCCGGAUCUGCGGUGGGUACGGGCAGACUAGAGUGCUGUAGGGGAGACUGGAAUUCCUGGUGUAGCGGUGAAAUGCGCAGAUAUCAGGAGGAACACCGAUGGCGAAGGCAGGUCUCUGGGCAGUAACUGACGCUGAGGAGCGAAAGCAUGGGGAGCGAACAGGAUUAGAUACCCUGGUAGUCCAUGCCGUAAACGUUGGGCACUAGAUGUGGGGGACAUUCCACGUUUUCCGCGUCGUAGCUAACGCAUUAAGUGCCCCGCCUGGGGAGUACGGCCGCAAGGCUAAAACUCAAAGGAAUUGACGGGGGCCCGCACAAGCGGCGGAGCAUGCGGAUUAAUUCGAUGCAACGCGAAGAACCUUACCAAGGCUUGAC